Molecule: ribosomal RNA, 497 nt
Filed under: uncultured bacterium
Lineage: Bacteria
Description: partial 16S ribosomal RNA
Rfam family: Bacterial small subunit ribosomal RNA
Source: RNAcentral
GAUGAACGCUGGCGGCGUGCUUAACACAUGCAAGUCGAACGAAGCACUUUUACAGAUUUCUUCGGAAUGAAGUUUUAGUGACUGAGUGGCGGACGGGUGAGUAACGCGUGGGUAACCUGCCUCACACAGGGGGAUAACAGUUGGAAACGGCUGCUAAUACCGCAUAAGCGCACAGUACCGCAUGGUACAGUGUGAAAAACUCCGGUGGUGUGAGAUGGACCCGCGUCUGAUUAGCUAGUUGGCAGGGCAACGGCCUACCAAGGCGACGAUCAGUAGCCGACCAGGGAGGGUGACCGGCCACAUUGGGAAUUAUGAACGGCCCAAACUCCUACGGGAGGCAGCAGUGGGGAAUAUUGCACAAUGGGGGAAACCCUGAUGCAGCGACGCCGCGUGAGCGAAGAAGUAUUUCGGUAUGUAAAGCUCUAUCAGCAGGGAAGAAGAAAUGACGGUACCUGACUAAGAAGCACCGGCUAAAUACGUGCCAGCCGCCGCCGUAA